UGGUUGUCGUCAGCUCGUGUCGUGAGAUGUUGGUUAAGUCCGCAACGAGCGCAACCCUUAUUGCUAGUUACCAUCAUUAAGUUGGGGGACUCUAGCGAGACUGCCAGUGAUAAACUGGAGGAAGGUGGGGAUGACGUCAAAUCAUCAUGCCCCUUAUGACCUGGGCUACAAACGUGAUACAAUGGCUGAAACAAAGGGCAGCGAAGGAGCGAUCUGGAGCGAAACCCAAAAAAGCAGUCUCAGUUCGGAUUGUAGGCUGCAACUCGCCUACAUGAAGUCGGAAUCGCUAGUAAUCGCGGAUCAGCACGCCGCGGUGAAUACGUUCCCGGGCCUU
This 334-nucleotide ribosomal RNA is filed under the name uncultured Acholeplasma sp. Its description in RNAcentral is "bacterial SSU rRNA". It matches the Rfam family "Bacterial small subunit ribosomal RNA", at positions 1046 to 1382 of the family's 1533-position model. Lineage: Bacteria; Bacillati; Mycoplasmatota; Mollicutes; Acholeplasmatales; Acholeplasmataceae. The record is from RNAcentral.